GCCCAGUUCCUCAAACUGAGCCAGUUUUCAGACCUUGAACUUGUUGACUGAAGGAGAGGCUAGAUUCCCAGAAGCAUGUGACUUCCAUCCUCGUGGUUUGCAAGAUGGUUGCUGUAACUCCAAGAGUUGUGAACACGCUCCGGACAGAAGAAGGAGGGAGGAGGAAAGAAGGAGAAGAGCCAGUAUUGGGAAAAUGGAAGCUUUCCUCAGAAAUCCCCCAUGGACUUCCGCUUCUGUCUCAUUGGCCAGAACGGGGUCAUGUGACGACUGGCUGUGAAGAGGUCUGGGAAGGUUCAUGUUUUCAGCUGAGUAUAUUGUAGGGCUGAACAAAAUUGGGGUUUUGUGGUGAGAAGGAAGUAGAGAUUAGAAUGGGGGAAUAACUAGCCGUUCUGGCAUGUGUCACGGUCUACUUCUUUAUUUCUUCU
This 425-nucleotide long non-coding RNA is filed under the name Equus caballus (horse). Its description in RNAcentral is "lncRNA (ENSECAG00000059473.1)". Lineage: Eukaryota; Metazoa; Chordata; Mammalia; Perissodactyla; Equidae. The record is from RNAcentral.